RNAcentral lists this ribosomal RNA (3473 nucleotides) under Candidatus Kuenenbacteria bacterium CG10_big_fil_rev_8_21_14_0_10_36_11. RNAcentral describes it as "bacterial LSU rRNA". It matches the Rfam family "Bacterial large subunit ribosomal RNA". The record is from RNAcentral. Lineage: Bacteria; Candidatus Kueneniibacteriota.
ACUAUGGCGUAUGGUGGAUGCCUUGACUUCGAAAGGCGAUGAAGGACGUGGCAGGGUGCGAUAAGCUCCGGGGAGCUCCCAAGCAAGCUUUGAGCCGGAGAUUUCCAAAUAGGGAAACCCAGCGCAGUAAAACUGCGCUACCGUCCCCAUGCCGAUUUUGAUCCCGAUGUUGAAUUUGUCCCAAACCGAAAUUGUUUAAAGGGUCUGUUGACCCUUAUGGAAAUAAUUUCGGUCGGGACAUUUUGCAAUUUCGGUAGCAAUAUCGGCAUGGGGACGGCGCCUACCCGCUGAAGUGAAACAUCUCAGUAAGCGGAGGAAAAUAAAUCAAUAGAGAUUCCCGCAGUAGUGGCGAACGAACCGGGAAAAGCCUAAACCAAAAAUAAUGUUUUUACAAAUUUACUGCAGCAAUGCAGUAGCGAGUAAAUUAAAAGUAUAAGCUGUUGUUAUUUUUGGGGUUGCAAGCUGUUAAAUUCUGCGGCUUAUAACGCAGAUAACAAGUUAUAAAACUUUUUCUUAGCAGAAAGCAGCUGGAAAGCUGCUGCCAAAGUAGGUGAGAGCCCUGUAUGCGAAAAGAAAAAAUCUUGUUUAACCAAGCUUAAGUAGGGCAGGACACGUGAAAUCCUGUUUGAAGCUGGGGCGACUAUGCUCCAAGGCUAAAUACUUUCGAAGAUCGAUAGUGAACUAGUACCGUGAGGGAAAGGUUAAAAGCACCCCGGUGAGGGGGAUGAAAUAGUAUCUGAAACCAUACGUUUUCAAGGAGUGGAAGCCGUGCUUCGCACGGAAUGUCUAAUAACUAAUUACUAAUUACUAAUCAAUGACUUAAUGUCUAAUUUAAAAAUUUAAGCAUUAGGAAAUUAUUUAGAAAUUAGAAAUUAAAAAUUGGAAAUUUCGCGCGGAGCGCGGUGACCGCGUGCCUAUUGAAGAAUGAGCCAACGAGUAUAUUUUAUGUUGCUUGUCUAAGUCCUUAAAGGAAAUAGGCAAAGGGAAACCAAGUCUUAAAUGGGCGAUUUGGCAGCAUAAAUAUGACCCGAAACCAGGUGAUCUAGCCAUGGCCAGGAUGAGCUCCGAUGAAAAUCGGAGGGAGGUCCGAACUCACGCGCCGUACAACACGCGGGGAUGAGCUGUGGUUAGGGGUGAAAUUCCAAUCGAACUUGGUAAUAGCUGGUUCUCCUCGAAAUAGCUUCAGGGCUAGCGCCGGCAAAAUAUUUAAUCAGGGGUAGAGCACUGGAUGGGGUUUGGAGCCGCAAGGUAUCCUCCCCAAUCAAACUCCGAAUACUGAUUAAAAUUCCCGGUAGUCAGACUAUGGGGGCUAAGCUUCAUUAGUCAAAAGGGAAACAGCCCAGAUCUCUAUCUAAGGUCCCUAAAUCCAUAUUAAGUGUUAAAGGUGGUGUUUUUUCUCAUACAACCAGGAGGUUGGCUUAGAAGCAGCCAUCCUUUAAAGAUAGCGUAACAGCUCACUGGUCAAGAGAAAAUGCGCCGAAAAUGUAUCGGGGCUAAAUAUGGUACCGAAGAUGAGGGUGUCCCAAUGCCGACAUUGCUUCCGAUGUUGAAUAUGUCUUAAACCGAAAUUGCAAUUUCGGUUUGGGACAUAUUGCAAUUUCGGGAUCAAUAUCGGCACGGGGACGCGGUAGAGGAGUAUUCUGUUAACCUGCGAAGUCCACGACGUGAGUCGGGAUGGAGGAAACAGAAGCAAGAAUGUUGGCAUGAGUAACAAAAAGGCAGGCGAGAAUCCUGCCCACCGAAAGCCUUAGGUUUCCUGGGCAAUGACUGUCAACCCAGGGUUAGGCGAUCCUAAUUGUUUAGCCCAAGGGUUAAACAAGAUGGAAGAACAGGUUAAUAUUCCUGUCCUAUUUUAAAUUUAUCUCAUAAGCGACGUAUUCAAGUGAACGAGCGUCCUAUGGCUAUGACGUUCCCCGACGUAAAGUCGGGGUAGAAGUGAAAGCUCCGGCUGGAUCGAAUUCGUGUAAUUGAAUGCCAAGAAAAACUCAUGGGUUAUGAUUUAAAAUAUCCGUACCGCAAACCGACACAGGUAGGCGGGUAGAGAAUACUCAGGUGUACGAGAGAACCCUUUUUUAAGGAACUCGGCAAAAAAACGGGCGUAACUUAGGGAUAAGCCCUGUCCCGAUAGCGUAAGCUUAUCGGGACUGCAACUAAAGUGUUUCAGGCGACUGUUUACCAAAAACACAGGUUCCUGCUCAAGUCGCAAGACUAUGUAUAGGAGCUGAUGCCUGGCCAGUGUCCGAACGUUAACGUGAGGGGUGAACACUCUGAUGCAAAUCAGAGGACUAGCUCUGAUCCGAAGCGCGGAUGAACGCCGGCGAUAACUAUAAUCGUCCUAAGGUUUUUCGCUAAAGUUAGCGUAAUUUUAGCGAAAAAGGACUGGGACGAUUUAAAAAUAAAUGCUGCCUCAUUUCGCAGUAAUGCGAAAAAUGGUCCUAAAAUAUUUGGCUAUAUGCUGGAAAGUCCCGCCUUGGCGGGAUAAUCAGCAGGAAAGAGCCCGAUUUAACAUUGGGCAAUCCUCAGAGACCACACGCCAAACUUCUUAUAAGUUUGUAAGAAUAAGAUAUGGUCCUUUGCGCAAAGGAAGCAAAAAGCGAAAUUCCUUGCGGGGUAAGUUCCCGCCUGCACGAAUGGCAUAACGGUCUGAAAACUGUCUUAAAAAGGGACUCGGUGAAAUUGCAAUGCCAGUAAAGAUGCUGGCUUCUCACAGUUAGACGAAAAGACCCCGUGAAGCUUUACUACAACUUGAUAUUGAUUUAUUGAACAACAUGUUCAGCAUAGGUGGGAGUCCCGAUUUAUCGGGACAUCAGUGAGAUACCACCCUUGUUAUUUAGUAAGUCUAACCCCGCCCAAGGCGGGAAACAGUAUCUGGUGGGUAGUUUAACUGGGGCGGUUUUCUCCUAAAAAGUAACGGAGAAAUUUACAAAGGUAGGCUAGGCUCGGAUGGAAAUCGAGCUGAUAGGGCAAACCCAUAAGCCUGCUUUACUGCAAGUCCAGCAAGACAAGCAGUUGCGAAAGCAUAAGUUAGUGAACCGAUCACGCCACAUAGGUGGCUGAAAGAUCAUUGAAUAAAAGCUACUCCGGGGAUAACAGGCUAGUCUGGCCCAAGCGUCCAUAGCGACGGCCAGGUUCGGCACCUCGAUGUCGGCUCAUCGCAUCCUGGGGGUGAAGAAGCUCCCAAGGGUUGGGCUGUUCGCCCAUUAAAGCGGUACGCGAGCUGGGUUCAAAACGUCAAGCAACUGAAAAUAAAUUCGGUUUUUUGACGGUUUGAACCCGAGGCAUUAGACAUCCAACACGGCGGCAUUUAAUAGUAAUAUUAAAUGCGAUACUAACUAAUAUCGGUGGAAUCCUAAUAAAGGACAAUACCGAGGGAAUUUUUUUAAGAAGAAGCCCGUAGAGACUAAAUGUUAGACCCCCGCAAACGCGGGGUGAAGUUAUAGUCCAAUGCACUUAGUAAUAAGUGAUUAACAUGC